Molecule: long non-coding RNA, 771 nt
Organism: Homo sapiens (human)
Lineage: Eukaryota; Metazoa; Chordata; Mammalia; Primates; Hominidae
Source: Ensembl
CUUUCCAACCUGGCUGUCUCAAAGGGAACCAGAUUAUGCAAGGCUUUGUGUUCCAGCUUAGGCUAAACCAAGAACAACUUUAUCCUAAGGUCAAGAGGAAAUAUUUGAUAGGUUCUAAAGAAGGGAGGAGGAAACUGAGACCCAGGCAGAAGAAUUUGUUCUUCAAACUGCGAAAGCAGAGCUACCCCAAUUCAUCCACACACAUAGUAUUUCAGAGAAAAAAAGAAAACCCUAUGAUGGCAAGCAGUCAUAAGGAUGAAUGAGUGGCUUGAUCUCGGCUCAUUGCAACCUUCGCCUCCUGGGUUCAAGCAAUUCUACCUGCCUAGCCUCCCGAGUAGCUGGGAUUACAGGCACCCUGCAUCACAACGGCAUCACGCAUUCGAAUUUAGUAUUUUAGAGUGAUCUUAAUAGGUUUUCUACCAGGUGAACUACGUGGUCAUGGAAGCACUGUUGAUGGUGUGGCACUACUGCCUGUUCUUCAAAGAAAAAUUCAAACCCCUAUUGCCGGCUUUGAAAAUGGAAGAAGAAUGCCCUGAUUCAAGGAAUGUAGUGGCCUCUAGCAUUUGGCAAGGAAGAAGGGAAGGAACACACCCUCACAGGCUCUUCCCUGGCUGCAUUCAUGCACUGUGUCCCGCUUCUCAGUGGAACCAGCUAUCAGCACCAUGGACAGAACCCGGGAGAUUGGGUCCUCAGAGCAAGUAAAAUGAUUCAGGAGUGUCUGGCCAAGGCACUAACUACAGAGAUUUUUAUUUCAUGUGAAUAAACAGUUUU